This 468-nucleotide ribosomal RNA is filed under the name Vexillum sp. Miriki2. Its description in RNAcentral is "partial 12S ribosomal RNA". Lineage: Eukaryota; Metazoa; Mollusca; Gastropoda; Neogastropoda; Costellariidae. The record is from RNAcentral.
AAGGCAGUUAGGUAAAAGUAUUUAAAGUUAACUAAUAGCUUAUAGAGAGGUAAAAUUCAGCCGUAAGCUUAAAAAUUUAUGUUGACUAAUUCUACUGAAUCUGCGAUACCCUUGAGGGAAACUGGGAUUAGAUACCCCACUAUUCUUGGAAAUAAAAAGAAAAAUCUACCAGAGUACUAUGAAUCAAACAUUUAAAACUCAAAGGGCUUGGCGGUGCUUUAGACCUUUCAGGGGAACCUGUCUCAUAAUCGACAAUCCACGUUACACCUGACCUUUUCUUGUAAACAAUUUGUAUACCGUCGUCGUCAGGUAACUUUUAAAAAUUUAGUAGUUAGCAGAUCAACUUUAAUAAGUUUAAACGUCAGAUCAAGGUGCAAUUAAUGAAAAGGUAGGGAUGGGUUACAAUUAUUUAUUAAUAAUACAGAAAAUUAGCUGAAAUGCUGCUUGGAAGGAGGACUUGAAAGUAAA